UUCCGGUUCCGGUAGCGCGCUACAAAAUUCCGCGCCAGUGAGCUGGUAUCCCUUUCCGGAACUCGCGUGGAGUGAGGCGGGGAUCGAGUUACGUGCUUGAUCAGCCCGCGUACCCCCUGUGCCGCAGCCCUCCUAGAAGGCAUCUACACCGGUGGACGCUCCCUUCCCUUCUUUACCACCUCGGGCCCGGUCCGUUGGGAGUGGGCGGCCUCAGUGGCUGCAGCCCCAGGAGCAGGCAGGCCCUAAUCUUGAGAUUUGAGGCUUCUCGGGCAGAGGUAGUUUUAGCUCACACUUCAGCUCUUUCUCCCCAGGUGGAGAUUUCUAUCUGGAGUCCCGGAACCCAUUGCUGAGCCCGGCCUCCAUCCUCUGAGCCGCGCCCCUAAAGUGGGAGGGAUCGGGCUCUGCUCCCGCCCAGAUGCCGAAGAUUACUAGGUCCAGCGUCCUCAGUUCCAACAUGGCGUGGAUCUCAGCAGACACUGCUGGUUCUCCCCCUGGAAGGGCUGCAGUGGGCCACACUACUGCUGCUUACCAGGGAGGGGAGGUGCUGGCUUGGCUUCCCAGAGUCCUAAGUUCCUACAUGGCGUGGAUCUCAGGAGACACCGCUCGGUAUCAGCCUUUUGAAGUCUGAGAUGUCAGGGUUGUGCCGCCAUCUGCAGCACCUCAAACCAUCCCAGAGCCACAGGAAGCACUGAACACACACGAGCAGGAAAAGCUGAGUGCCAGCAGGGAGCUGAGCAGCCCUGCACCAAAAGCAGUUCCAGAUCGGCACUGAGCUGAGCACUGAGUGGAUGGACGAGCCUCGGAGCUGGACCAGGGCCAGGAAGGUUCCUCGGGCUGAGCUGUGCUGGGGAGGCAGCUGCCGUUCCCUCUGCCGGCCACAGCCCCAGCCAUGGUCUAGAGCCUGGCCUGGGGCCUAAACACAGAUCCCCAUGCAGGCAGGUGAGCGUAAACUGGAACAGCGCUGCGGGCAGGCUGGGAGCACAGGACCGGCACAGGACAGGUAGUGGAACAAAGGCCAUCAGAGUGAGAAAGCACACAGGACAGCUGCCCCCACGUGUUCCCUACCUCUGUGAGUCUCUUACCCUUUGCUGUUUUGUCCAAGUUCAAUCCUGGUUUGGAAAACAAAGGCCACGGGUCCUGUCAGCGGCACAGUGAACAUCACAGCCAUAAUCUCCAGCUCACAUCUGUUCCUGAGAAUGAUCUAGGCAUUCUCCAACACUGACUCCUGUGAACAAAAACCAAUCUAUCACCUGGGACAGGUUUAUUAAGGACAGACUUAAUACUUCAAGGCAUCUUGAAUGAAUUUCUGGUGCAGUUCAGAAGCUUCCAUUCAUGUUACCAAAGCAAGAAUCACACAUUCCUGGCCCUGAAUCAAAGCCAGAAGCUUCCUGAUGCUGUUGGUUUCAAGCAGGAGCCUAAGGAGAUGUCUUUCUAUGCUCUGUUGGCCAUUUCAGAACUUGGGCAGUGAAAUGGUCAAUUCAUUAAAAAGAAACAGCUUUAAGCAACCCCUCCCCUCCUGGUGAGCGUCUGUGAGUGUGGCAGGCUCCGGUGGCCCAGGAUGGGAGCCUCCAGCGUUUACUGUGACCCGAGCCAUGCUGGGACCUGGAACGCCAGGAAACCAAGCAACCCCUCCCCCUCUGCCUGUUUUGUUUUAUUGAACUUCAAUGUACAUGAAAGUAUGGACAGCUAUUUUGAAGAAACGAGAGAUUCUACAACAGCCAUUAGUGACUUCCCUAUUGUCUGGUUUUGAAGACCUGAAACUCCUUCCUUGUUCUGUUCAGAUCAGUUUUAUACUAUGUUGUUUUGUAUGAAUUCUCUGUAUGCAAAGACAUGGACAACUAUUUGGAAGAAAACAAGAGACAAUAUGAUAGAUAGUGAAGAUCUCAGGUUGUCUAUCUUUGAAAUAUAUAUCUCUUGCAUUGUUUUCUUAUGUCCUAUUUUGUUCUGUUAUGUUGUGUUUAAUUCUACUCCCUUUAAAAUAAAAAGAAACACAUUCUGAAGUGAAA
Cavia porcellus (domestic guinea pig) is the source of this 2006-nucleotide long non-coding RNA. RefSeq lists it as uncharacterized. Lineage: Eukaryota; Metazoa; Chordata; Mammalia; Rodentia; Caviidae. The transcript is spliced from 3 exons. The record is from RefSeq and is a predicted model, not a curated record.